This 306-nucleotide ribosomal RNA is filed under the name uncultured bacterium. Its description in RNAcentral is "partial 16S ribosomal RNA". It matches the Rfam family "Bacterial small subunit ribosomal RNA", at positions 507 to 807 of the family's 1533-position model. The record is from RNAcentral.
GACAGCAGCAGCCGCGGGAAUACGGAGGGUGCAAGCGUUAAUCGGAAUUACUGGGCGUAAAGCGUGCGUAGGCGGUUCGUUAAGUCUGUUGUGAAAGCCCCGGGCUCAACCUGGGAAUGGCAAUGGAUACUGGCGAGCUAGAGUGUGUCAGAGGAUGGUGGAAUUCCCGGUGUAGCGGUGAAAUGCGUAGAGAUCGGGAGGAACAUCAGUGGCGAAGGCGGCCAUCUGGGACAACACUGACGCUGAGGCACGAAAGCGUGGGGAGCAAACAGGAUUAGAGACCCCCGUAGUCCCUGUCUCUUAUAC